GUUUGUGUUUAUAUGUGAAGCUGAAGCCACACUGGCCAGGAGGUUGCUAGACUAUUGAUUGUUUGGAAUUAUUCCUGUCAUCUCUGUCUCCCAAUAGCCUAUUGUAUUCUGAUGCGAUUUUUCAGUCACCUGAUGGAACAGAAAUUGUCAGUGUCUCUCCCGAAAGAAAGAAAACUCAGAUCUCUACUGAAGAGACGAAGAAAGCUCGUUCCAUCUGCUGCUUCCCCUCCCCUUCUCCCUUCAAAUCCAACUAGGUUAAGUUUUAACUUCCUAAAGGCCAUAAAACAAAGGCCUGAGGUACUAGCUCCUGACAUCCUGGGUCUUCCCUAUCCGGUAGCCCCGUCACAAAUUGUGUUAAUUGCAUCAGAUUGUAUUAGAUUGUACAUUCUUCACAGAAAUAGCUUCGUUUAUAUCAUAGUAAUACCUGUAACUGUAAAUGUGUGUCUUCCUUUUCC
Molecule: long non-coding RNA, 455 nt
Filed under: Cavia porcellus (domestic guinea pig)
Lineage: Eukaryota; Metazoa; Chordata; Mammalia; Rodentia; Caviidae
Description: lncRNA (ENSCPOG00000038751.1)
Source: RNAcentral